This 253-nucleotide ribosomal RNA is filed under the name uncultured bacterium. RNAcentral's name for it is "partial 16S ribosomal RNA". It matches the Rfam family "Bacterial small subunit ribosomal RNA", at positions 524 to 776 of the family's 1533-position model. The record is from RNAcentral.
UACGUAGGGAGCAAGCGUUGUUCGGAGUUACUGGGCGUAAAGGGUGCGUAGGCGGCUCUGUAAGUCUGGUGUGAAAUCUCCCGGCUUAACUGGGAGGGUGCGCUAUAGACGGCGGGGCUCGAGUGUGGGAGAGGAAAGUGGAAUUCCUGGUGUAGCGGUGAAAUGCGUAGAUAUCAGGAGGAACACCGGUGGUGUAAACGGCUUUCUGGACCAUAACUGACGCUGAGGCACGAAAGCGUGGGUAGCAAACAGG